GUGGGUUUUGAAAGUGCUUUGUGUUCAUGGCUGGUGCAAUCAGGGGUGAGCUGAAACUAACCCCCAGCUUAGGAAACAGAGUUAUUCCUCAUGUGGCUGACUCUGUGCCGAAAACAUGGGAACAACC
Pipistrellus kuhlii (Kuhl's pipistrelle) is the source of this 127-nucleotide small nucleolar RNA. RefSeq annotates it as small nucleolar RNA SNORA65. The transcript has a single exon. NCBI's taxonomy places the organism in Eukaryota, Metazoa, Chordata, Mammalia, Chiroptera, Vespertilionidae. The record is from RefSeq and is a predicted model, not a curated record.